This 256-nucleotide ribosomal RNA is filed under the name Pseudoduganella guangdongensis. Its description in RNAcentral is "partial 23S ribosomal RNA". It matches the Rfam family "Bacterial large subunit ribosomal RNA", at positions 522 to 784 of the family's 2925-position model. Lineage: Bacteria; Pseudomonadati; Pseudomonadota; Betaproteobacteria; Burkholderiales; Oxalobacteraceae. The record is from RNAcentral.
AACCCCGGGAGGGGAGUGAAAUAGAUCCUGAAACCGUGUGCAUACAAACAGUAGGAGCCUCGUAAGGGGUGACUGCGUACCUUUUGUAUAAUGGGUCAGCGACUUACAUUCAGUGGCGAGGUUAACCAUAUAGGGGAGCCGUAGAGAAAUCGAGUCCGAACAGGGCGCCAGUCGCUGGGUGUAGACCCGAAACCAAGUGAUCUAUCCAUGGCCAGGUUGAAGGUGCGGUAACACGCACUGGAGGACCGAACCCACU